AAGUCGUAACAAGGUUUCCGUAGGUGAACCUGCGGAAGGAUCAUUACAACGUAUCCACGUACCAAACUCUCGAACUGUUCCCAACGGAGCAAAGCGCACAAACUCGUUUUGUGUGAAUGAAGUUAAUGGCCGGCUGUCUUUCGCUGAUGGAGUCAUCUCUGACUGUUGUCGGAAGACUGAAAGGCCGUCGGUCGCCGGGGCUCACGCUCUGGGACUUUGUUUGUUCCGCUGCGGUUUCUACCGUCAGCGCCUGUUUUACCAUUAUUAACCCUUUGAACUACUGAACUGAACUUGAGACCUCGCAAAACCGUCCUUGCUGGCUUCGGUCACGGACAGUUAAGCUUGGUUUCUCCGUUUACGAAACAAAAGAACAACUCUUAGCAACGGAUAUCUUGGUUCUC
RNAcentral lists this unclassified non-coding RNA (401 nucleotides) under fungal sp. Its description in RNAcentral is "partial internal transcribed spacer region". The stretch from base 1 to 46 matches the Rfam family "Eukaryotic small subunit ribosomal RNA", at positions 1786 to 1831 of the family's 1831-position model. RNAcentral also lists the same sequence under 1 other name. The record is from RNAcentral. Lineage: Eukaryota; Fungi.